Long non-coding RNA from Exaiptasia diaphana, 377 nucleotides. RefSeq lists it as uncharacterized. The record is from RefSeq and is a predicted model, not a curated record. The transcript has 3 exons. NCBI's taxonomy places the organism in Eukaryota, Metazoa, Cnidaria, Anthozoa, Actiniaria, Aiptasiidae.
AACGAGCAUAAUGCUCUUGGACGAUCCCAUUGGGAAUUGGCGGAURAAGGGAAGGAGAGAAGGCUGACAAGAAGGUCUUUCGAAGCGACCAUAAGACGAAUUAAGGAAGAGUCAAGAGUGUGAACCAACCACAUGAUGGGAUUCAAAACUAUUAUGGUUUGCUUUUCCUUGCUGAUUGGGUGUCAGGGUGYAAGUGUGACAUCUAAUAUUACUAUUCAAGCGAGUUUUAAAGGUCGUCCAACAGGUCGUCCAACAGGUCCUCCAACAGGUUGUGAACUGCUAAGGGCGAUUCCAACACCGAAUGGGAAAGUCCCUAAACUAGGCUUUGGAUGUUUUUGCUCGUCACGAAAUGAUACAGGUAAUAGUGGAUGAACAUU